CGUGAGUAACCUGCCUUGGAGUGGGGAAUAACAGCUGGAAACAGCUGCUAAUACCGCAUAAUAUAUCUGUGUCGCAUGGCACUGGAUAUCAAAGAUUUAUCGCUUUGAGAUGGACUCGCGUCUGAUUAGCUGGUUGGCGGGGUAACGGCCCACCAAGGCGACGAUCAGUAGCCGGACUGAGAGGUUGGCCGGCCACAUUGGGACUGAGACACGGCCCAGACUCCUACGGAAGGCAGCAG
Molecule: ribosomal RNA, 239 nt
Filed under: uncultured bacterium
Lineage: Bacteria
Description: partial 16S ribosomal RNA
Rfam family: Bacterial small subunit ribosomal RNA
Source: RNAcentral